This 352-nucleotide long non-coding RNA is filed under the name Brassica napus (rape). RNAcentral describes it as "long non-coding RNA (BNAP_LNC011111)". The record is from RNAcentral. Lineage: Eukaryota; Viridiplantae; Streptophyta; Magnoliopsida; Brassicales; Brassicaceae.
UUGCAUUCCAUUGGCGUAGCAUGGAGCCAGACUUAAAAAAUUCUUGCACUGCUUCAAUCACUUCUGGUCCAAUAAUCUGCCAACAUGAGAUGAAGAACUUCGAUGAAUAACCGUCAGGACCACUUGUUUUGUUCCUGGGAAGAGAGAAGAACACAUCUUUGAUUUCCUGCGCAGAGAAGUCCGCAACAAACAUAUUCUGAUCUUCCUGAGAACAAGUGAAGUCAAACAGGACAUUCAUAUCGUCUUGAACAAACAUCCGAGGCUCAGUGGCUCCACCUAACAGCUCAGAGAAAUAUUCGACACAGAGGGCUUCAAUUUCCUCGUGGGAAUCAAACCGGUUACCAGCAGAAUC